GUAGGUGAACCUGCGGAAGGAUCAUUAUCUAUUCAUGAAAUACGGGAGUGCAACAGCCCUCUGGGGCUCCUUAAAUGGGUGACCCCCCUGUGGACACGCCCCGUACUCUCAUUGAAAUCCCAUCUGUGUAUAUGACUUCUGUUGCUUCCCACAAAGCGGACGCUUGGGUGUAGAAUCCCUAGGGUUAGCCUGUGGGGAGGAAGACAUAAACUCUAUUUGUUGUAUUGUUAGUCUGAGUGGUUAUCACAUAAAACAAGUUAAAACUUUCAACAACGGAUCUCUUGGUUCUC
This 290-nucleotide unclassified non-coding RNA is filed under the name rhizosphere metagenome. RNAcentral describes it as "partial ribosomal RNA internal transcribed spacer region". The record is from RNAcentral.